This 1515-nucleotide long non-coding RNA is filed under the name Homo sapiens (human). RNAcentral's name for it is "HSALNT0187761". The record is from RNAcentral. Lineage: Eukaryota; Metazoa; Chordata; Mammalia; Primates; Hominidae.
GUAAGGUAGUAUGAACAGCUCUGGAUAAAGACAGGGAAAGCAGUGAGUGCUUGGGAAAUUGCAAACGAUUUGGUGUGCUUGGAGAACAAAGUGAGAAGUGGAUAGGAUGCUGGGUGGGAAGGGUGAAGGUGGAGAUGACAAGAAAAGACUGUAGGCAAUACUACUGGAAUAUAAGUUUAUCCUUAGGAAAUGAUAUGUUAUUGUGUGAUUUUAAAUCAGGGAGUCAUAGGAUCAGAUUUGUGUUUUAGGAAGAUCAUCUGUCAGUGGUGUGCAGGAUGCAAGAAGUUGCCGAGGAUGAUGGCCGGAGGGUAGCUUAGGAGCCUACUAGCAUAGUCCGUGUACAAAAUGAGGGACUGACUAGGGGAAGGCUGUAGAGAAACACAGAAACGGAGGAAGAUAUGAAAUAUUUAGGAGAUAGAAUUGAGUGGAUUUGGUACCUCAUUAGAUAUAAUCAACGGGGAAGGAAAAGGUAUCGAGGAUAAAUGUCAGGUUUCUGGCUUGGUUAAUUGCAUUCUCAGUGUUUUCACUCAUAACAAUAAGAAAUGCAGGAUCUUGUAGACUGAAUUUUGACCAUCCCCAUUCAUGUGUUGGAGCCCUAACCCUCAACAUCCCUGGGUUUGGAGAUGGGGCCUUUAAGGAGGACAGGCUAGAUGCUGACAGCUUGAUCUUGGACCUCAAGUUUUCCGAAUUGUGAUAAAUAGAUGUUUAUAAUAAAGCCACCCAGUCUGUGGUAUCUUGUUGUGAUAGCUGGACCUGACUAAUACACAGGGCAUGUGGCAAGUUUAAGGGGAAGAUGUCUUUCUGAAACAUUUGAAUCAAUCAGAAGUUCUUUUGGAACAACUAAGGAAAGAUGUCAGCUUGCUGCCUCAAAAUGCUGUUUGAUGACACUGGUUUAGAAAAUAGAAAACAGAUUUUUCUUUUCUCCGAAGAAAUAGAAAACUUUCCUCUGUACUCCAAGGGAUAUACAGGAAGAAUAGAAAUAUGAAUUUGAACUGUGACUAAGAGUCAGCAUGUACUUUCCCUUCUCUGGAAAAAGAAAAGAAAAAAGCUGGAGAAGUAAAGCUCAGAAGCACGGUUGGGUAUGGCUGAGUUAAGUAGACUACAUGAAAAAUAAACAGUCAACAAUCUUACAGAGAAAAUGAAUUUUGCUCUUUGAUGUAAGAAAAAGCCCACUCACCUUUAUUUUUAAAAUGUCCUGAGUUGAGGUAAACAAUAUCUAUUUUUGCUAUUAAAAAAUUCUAUUUCUGUCUGAUAUUUUUCCCAAUUGAUAGAAAUCAGAAGAACACUCCUAGAGAAAUUAACACUAAAAUGCAAAAGCACUGUAAUAGCUCCUCUUUGAUAUUAUGAAUUGACUUUAACCUGAUUUGCUCUCUAAAUUUCUUAGGUUAUUUCUGAAUUUUGUUUAUAGUUUAUUAGCAUGUUAAAUAUUUUUUGUGGUUUUGAUUUGCAUACAUAUACAAUAUUUUGGUUAUAUUAAAAAUAAAAUAACUGGUAUGUGUUUCCUACCUCCUGAUU